UACGUAGGGACCAAGCGUUGUUCGGAUUUACUGGGCGUAAAGGGCGCGUAGGCGGCUUAACAAGUCACUUGUGAAAUCUCCGGGCUUAACUCGGAACGGCCAAGUGAAACUGUCAAGCUAGAGUGCAGAAGGGGCAAUCGGAAUUCUUGGUGUAACGGUGAAAUGCGUAGAUAUCAAGAGGAACACCUGAGGUGAAGACGGGUUGCUGGGCUGACACUGACGCUGAGGCGCGAAAGCCAGGGGAGCAAACGGG
Molecule: ribosomal RNA, 253 nt
Filed under: uncultured bacterium
Lineage: Bacteria
Description: partial 16S ribosomal RNA
Rfam family: Bacterial small subunit ribosomal RNA
Source: RNAcentral